This 7383-nucleotide long non-coding RNA is filed under the name Triticum aestivum (bread wheat). RNAcentral's name for it is "long non-coding RNA (TAES_LNC006581)". Lineage: Eukaryota; Viridiplantae; Streptophyta; Magnoliopsida; Poales; Poaceae. The record is from RNAcentral.
GAUCUUUCACGAAUUGGAGGGGAAUCCCCUAUGAACAAGAUGAACAAAAGAGGGAAAACAAGAGGAACACUCAAGAACAAGUCCAAUCACACAUCCACUAGACAAUCAAACACAUAAGAUCCACAAGGUACAUGAACAACAAAGGGAAAUAAGAUACAUGGUAGAGUUCAUCCCAAAUCCUAUGAAGGAGAUGAGGGCUUGAUGAUCUAGAUAGAUCCUUCCCACAAAGGGGGUCUUCAUCCACUAGGGAUCUUCUCCAAUGGAGGCCUUGAACUCCAAUGGAGUGUCUCUCUCUCUCAAGAGGAAUCCCACAAGGGGAGGUACAUGAGCUAGGCUCUAGUGUUUAGAUCUAUCCUUAGCUAAGUCUAAAUGGAGGAGAUGAAGGAGUAUAUAUAGUCCUAGGCAAAGAGAGGGGUAAGUGGGGGCGAAAUGGUAAAACAAGGGCAAAGCCCGCAACAUCUCUCAGGGGGCCCCGUGUGCACGGGGUAAGUGGAGCCCGUGCGCACGGGGUAUCCAGGGACCGGACGCAAGGGCCCGUGCGCACGGGGUCCGUUAGGCCCGUGGACACGGGGGUCCCAUGGGCACGGUACACGACCGUGCGCACGGGGUCUUCAGGACCGCCAGCCUGGGAGGCCCGUGGGCAUGGGGUCAGAGGGGCCCGUGCGCACGGGGUCGCCUGGGAGUUGCUGCCUUCUUCUUGGCGCUUCCUUCUCCGCUUCCAGGCUUCCGUCUUGGAUGGUGUAGAUGUUCUCUUCCGCUUGGACUCCUCCGUGAUGAAUGUGUAGCUCCGCUCACACCUAAGUAUGCACACGAGAGAGGGGUCAAGUAGUAUACCAUCCUCGAAGGGUACAAGUGGACACGUGUAAAGGAGAUGGUUCACCUUUGUAUGCAUGAAGUAGAUGUGGCACGUGUCACUUGUCAAAUGGUCUCUUGACAUGGUGAUGUCCAUAGGAUGCUCCGCAUCAUCCCCUCCCCCUUGGGAAAGAUCCGACCUCGGAUCGAAAUCCAAAUCACCAUGGGAAAGAGAUGAUGUCGUCGUGUAGAAGUGGACGAUCACCAAGCAUUCGUCAUCUUGUAGUUCCAAAUGGGCACUCUCCGAUGUCGCACCGUCUUGUAAUUCCUUCAGAAGUAGCAAAGAUAACAAGCACUUGGAAAAACAAAUGUGGUUGUCGUAAGAGCAAAACCAAGCAUUCAAGAGGUGAUUCACCCAACAAGUGUUGUCAUCAAGCAUAGCAUAUGGUUUGACAAAGAAGUGUGUCAUGGCAUUUGAGCAUAUAAAUUGAGCACAAUCAAUUACAUCAUGGGAACAAGCAUGUAAAUGGGAGGUCAAGAUGCAAAUAUAUGUGAUAAGUGAACAAGCAUCAACCUCAAGGUCAUAGCAAGAAUGCAUAAAGUGCUCAACAAAUGGUCUAUGGUAUGCAUAUGAAUCGUUCACAACACCAAAUAUAGUGAAAUGUCUAAACACAUGGGGAAAGUGCAAGGCAAUCCAAGCAUAACGUGCAUAUGGUGUAGUGAAGAUAUCGUGGCACUCAACACAAUGGAAAGAGCAAUUGUUCAACAUGUGUGAGGCAAUCAAGUCAAGCAUGUGAUAAGCAAAGGGACAUGGCAUAUGUGAAGAACUAGAUGCAACACUCAAGGCAUAUAUGUCAUGAGGCAUAGCAAUGUGGUAAUGAGAAGUCGAAGCAAGAUCACUAGCAUGUGUGCAAAGUGUCGUGGAGCAAGAAACACAUGAAGUAUGAUCCACAAUAUGCAUGCUCAUGGUUUGGGUGAUCUUGAGAUAGAAGGAUAUCACCUCGAAAGCAUGUCCUUGUGCGUCCUUCACAAUGCCGAAGUGGUAGGAAAUAUGGUGUAGAAGCGAGUCGUGGUCGAAUGUAUGAGGCUCGCUCUCAAGAGCUCGAAUGGUCAACUCACGUGAAGUGGAAGUCGACACGAAGUCCAAGUAUCCUACACAUGCACACAACAAAACAAAGAGCGUAUGCGCAUGGUAGAUAAACACAUCAUCCAUCAUGAUGGUUCUCUUCUCUUGCACAUAACGAUUAGAAGCACAAGUGCAUGAAUAAUAUGAUGCAACAAUGGCGAUAUUCAAGGCACUAGGUAUAUGGUGCAAAGAGGUAAGACAAGCAUGCUUCACAAGGAAUAUGUCAACAUCUCCAAACAUAUGUAAGAAUGCUAUGGGGGCAAUCUUAAGAGCAAGACUAUAAGCAUUGUUGCACUCAAUACAUGGCAAAUCAUCUAGCAUGAGAGAGGCAACACAUGGAGAUAUAUGACACGAAGCAAUAUGAAUCAUGUGCAAAGCAUAUAGAUGGUUGUCAUCAACCGCGUGAGAUGAGCAAGUAUGACGCAAGAGACAAUGAUCAAGAUAUAGCAUGUGAGAGGCAUGAGCAUAUAUGUCAUCAACCCAAGAAAGCAAGUAAUAGUGGAACAUGGGUGAUGCAACAUAGCAAGCAAUCAUAGCAAUCAAGUCAAGUAAGCUAGUAGUGCGAAGAUGCAACAUACUAGAAGGAAUCAUGGCAAACAUGUCAUUGGUGCAAAUAGUGGGCAUGAAUAAUUCACAUGACAUAGCACAAGCAUGAAAGCAAGAUAUGAGGACAAUAGCAUGGGGCACAUGAUAAACAUGGCAAUAGCAACAAGGAUCUCUACCAAGCAUGCAAAUACACAUAGAAGUAGCAUAAUUAUGAAACAUGGGUAGAUGCAAGCAAGGGUCACAAUUGCAUGGCAAAGGCAUAGAAGCAAGCAUAGCAUGCAAAGUGAACACGGUAAAAUGAGCAUAAGGUGACAAGUGGUAAAUGGCCCAUAGUCGUGUGAGAGCCAAGUACAGGAGUUGCGCGUAGUCCUUGCGCGAAGGGAACGGUGGUAAGGAUAGUCCAUGGGAUCCCAAGUCAUCAUUGCUCUCUAGAGCUCGUUUGAAGUGGCAUAUGCAUAGUCACUAUGAAGAGAUUGUCAUCUAUGCCAGAAGUGCAAAUUGGGUUUAUUUUAAUGGCAUAUGCAUAGUCACUAUGAAGAGAUUGCAAAUAUGACAUAUGAUGGAUCUCAUGCAUAGCAUAUGACAAGUCAAGCGGAUUAUCAAACAUGGUGAGACCAAGAGAAUUAUCACAAGACAUCCUAUGUAACAUGGCAUCACAACUAAUAGACUCCUCAUGGCAAUAAUCAUACUCAUCAUAAAUGGGCAAAUCAUCACAUGGGAAAAUCAUACUAGCGUGAAUCAUGGUACUAAGUGGAUCAACAUCAUGCAAGCAAUCAAUCUCAAGAAUGUCCGCUAGUGGGACUAGAGCAUCACCUUCACCUUUGUUACCUUUGUCAUUCCACUCAAGUGGUGUAGGUGAGGUGGGAAAGACCAAAUGGUGGUCAUCUUCAUCUUGAUGGAACCAUGUGGGGGGUGCAUCAUAUUCCACCAUGGUCAUCGUCAUGUCCAAAGGGAGGACGAAGUCGUCGAGGAUCGGCGCGUCAUCAUAAAUGGGACCUAGCACCAAAUGAGAAGACACAAUAGAGGUAGAGGUCAAGUUGUUAGAAAUGCAAAUGGCCUCAUGAGACCUAUCAACUAUCUCACUCUCUCUAUGUGGUGGUGAAGGAAAUAUGGCCUAGAGGCAAUAAUAAAGUUAUUAUUUAUUUCCUCAUAUCAUGAUAAAUGUUUAUUAUUCAUGCUAGAAUUGUAUUAACCGGAAACAUGGUAAAUGUGUGAAUACAUAGACAAAACAAUAGUCACUAGUAUGCCUCUACUUGACUAGCUCAUUAAUCAAAGAUGGUUAUGUUUCCAAACCAUAGACAUGUGUUGUCAUUUGAUUAAUGGGAUCACAUCAUUAGGAGAAUGAUGUGAUUGAGAUGACCCAUUCCGUUAGCCUAGCACUUGCUCAUUUAGUAUACUGCUAUUGCUUUCUUCAUGACUUAUACAAAGUUCCUGCAACUAUGAGAUUGUGCAACUCCCGUAUACCGGAAGAACACUUUGUGUGCUACCAAACGUCACAACGUAACUGGGUGAUUAUAAAGGUGCUCUACAGGUGUUUCCGAAGGUACAUGUUGGGUUGGCAUAAUUCGAGAUUAGGUUUUGUCACUCCGAUUGUCGGAGAGGUAUCUCUGGGCCCUCUCGGUAAUACUCAUCACCUAAGCCUUGCAAGCAUGUAACUAAUGAGUUAGUUAUGAGAUGAUGUAUUACGGAACGAGUAAAGAGACUUGCCGGUAACGAGAUUGAACUAGGUAUAGGAUACCGACGAUCAAAUCCCGGGCAAGUAACAUACCGAUGACAAAGGGAACAAAGUAUGUUGUUAUGCGGUUUGACCGAUAAAGAUCUUCGUAGAAUAUGUAGGAACCAAUAUGGGCAUCCAGGUCCCGCUAUUGGUUAUUGACCGAGAAUGGUUCUAGGUCAUGUCUACAUAGUUCUCGAACCCGUAGGGUCCGCACGCUUAACGUUUCGAUGACAGUUUUAUUAAGAGUUUAUAAGUUUUGAUGUACCGAAGUUUGUUCGGAGUCCCGGAUAUGAUCACGGACAUGACGAGGAGUCUCGGAAUGGUUGAGACAUAAAGAUUGAUAUAUUGGAAGCCUAUAUUUGGAUAUCGGAAAGGUUCCGGGUGAAAUCGGCAUUUUACCGGAGUACCGGGAGGUUACCGGAACCCCCCGGGGGUUAAUGGGCCUACAUGGGCCAAGAGGGAGAAGAGGGAAGGAGCCAGGAGGGGGCCGCGUGCCCCUCCCCCUCCUAGUCCGAAUAGGACAAGGGAAGGGGGGGCGACGCCCCCCUUUCCUUCCCCUCUUCGUCCUCUUUCCCCCCUUCUCCUACUCCUACUUGGAAAAGGGGAGUCCUACUCCCGGUGGGAGUAGGACUCCCCCCCUUGGCGCGCCCUCUAGGCCGGCCGCCUCCUCCCCCCUGGCUCCUUUAUAUACGGGGGCGGGGGGCACCCCAAAGACACAAGUUGAUCUACGGAUCGUUCCUUAGCCGUGUGCGGUGCCCCCUUCCACCAUAUUCCACCUCGGUCAUAUCGUCGCGGAGUUUAGGCAAAGCCCUGCGCCGGUAGAACAUCAUCAUCGUCACCACGCCGUCAUGCUGACGGAACUCAUCUCCGGAGCUCGGUUGGAUCGGAGGCCGGAGAUCGUCAUCAAGCUGAACGUGUGCUGAACUCGGAGGCUCCGUACGUUCGGUGCUUGGAUCGGUCGGAUCGUGAAGACGUACGACUACAUCAACCGCGUUGUGCUAACGCUUCCGCUUAUGGUCUACGAGGGUACAUGGACGAAUACUCUCCCCUCUCGUUGCUAUGCCAUCACCAUGAUCUUGCGUGUGCAUAGGAAUUUUUUUAAAAUUACAACGUUCCCCAACAGUGGCAUCCGAGCCUAGGUUUUAUGCGUUGAUGUUAUAUGCACGAGUAGAACACAAGUGAGUUGUGGGCGAUACAAGUCAUACUGCUUACGACUACGGGAUUGGCCAACCACGCAGGAUGGAGCACUCCUCUGACAAGGCCUACUGCUUCCAACUUCUUGAUCUCUUCUGCAAUGAAUUCUUGGCGCUCCACUGCUUGUUUCCUUACUUUCUGCUUGACGGGCCGUGCGUGAGGACAGACGGCAAGAUGGUGCUCAAUUACUUCCCUGGGAACACCGGGGAUGUCAUACGGUUGCACAAAAAUUUGAUGCAAAAUGUUAGCAAGAGUCAAUAAUGUUGAAAAAGAUUCACAAAUUCGCAAGUGAAACAAGUAGACCAAUAGCAAAUGGUACACGGAAACACACACACACGGAUAGAUAAAUGGGGUCGUGCAACCAAGGAAUGAGCACAAAAUGUGGAGUCCACGGAAAACGCUCGUGUUGCACAACUCAAGAGAGACGCUAGCACGAUUGCUCAAUAGGCGGAUACGACACUUGUGCACAACCUAUAAGAUGCAAAAUGGAUAAACUUCUUUCCCAAGUAAGCUAUGUAUGUAUGGUUCCCGGUGUUUCUCUCAAGCAUGAUACCAUAUGAUGUAGAUUUUGGUAUGGCUCUUUUUGUGCAAUGGGGUAUGAUGCUAUGGCACUUGCUCACGAGCUCUUUGCUCUCUUUUUGCUUAAAAGUUUUUUCUCUUUUUUUUCAAUGGCCACUUUUGCACAAUGCACAAACCAAGAUAGUUAUUGUGUAUAUGCGGGAACGAUAUUGUGACACAAAGGAUGAUAUGAUACCAAUAUGAUAUGGGAUGUAUGCAAUGGAAUGGUGGAUCACUAAUGUGCACAAGUAACGUUGCCGGCAAUACUCAAAUGGCUAGUCUCGAUAGGCAAGUAACGCAAAAUGGGCUAGGGGUUAACAAUACAAUUGCAAGGGUAAUAUACAAUGGUGUCGUCGAGGUUACCGUCCUUUGCGAUGAUGAGUGGCGGUGUUCUUGAUGUAGAUACCAAGAUGAUGUAGACCCGUCCCUAAGUAGCCAAAACACCUUAGGAAACGGUAAAAACCGCAAACUCAAAAUCUCAAAUGACAAAUGUCAAAUGGUGGAAGUGGGAAUGGCAAUGUGGAAGUGGUGGUGGUUUGUGAAGAAGCAAAUGUCCCUAAGUAGCCGAAACACCUUAGGAGACUCACGUCGCCACUCAAACAACCACAAAUGCUAAGGGGAUCAAGAUGGGUUAGGUUGCGAAAGUCUAUGGUUGUUUUGCGGAUGAUAUGGUGGAGGGCCUAGGCAAAGAUGCCAAAAUGUCAAAAUUUUGAUGGAGUGGGGGAUGUCAAUAGCUACUCAAUGAGCUAAAGAACGCGAAAAUCGUACUCCGGAUGUGGAAGUUACGGGCAAAACAGUGAACUGCUCGCUGCUGGCCUGGGGGGGCCAUGCGCACGGGGUCCCAUGCGCACGGUACACGUAUCGAGGACACGGGGUCACCAGAGACUUCGCGGGGGCCCGUGGGCACGGGGUGGGGAGCCCGUGGGCACGGGGUAGGCGGAAAUUUUGCGAUUUUCUUGUCAAAUUCGAAGGGGAAAGAAAAAUUGGGGUAUGGGGACACAAGAGGGGGUAGAUCUACUUGCAAUACAUCAAAUCCAUGGAUCAAAUCCAACAAAAUCAAUCUAAACCAACAAAUCACAAAAACAUUUGGGGCUAUUUUUGGUGGGGAAUUUUCGGAUUUAGGACGAAAUCACACAAAACAACGCUAGAAAACACGGGGCAAGGGCUCCAAAAACAUGAUCAACGUGGCUCAUGAUACCAUAUGAUGUUGGGUAGAACCCUAGGUGAGAGAUCUUUCACGAAUUGGAGGGGAAUCCCCUAUGAACAAGAUGAACAAAAGAGGGAAAACAAGAGGAACACUCAAGAACAAGUCCAAUCACACAUCCACUAGACAAUCAAACACAUAAGAUCCACAAGGUACAUGAACAACAAAGGGAAAUAAGAUACAUGGUAGAGUUCAACCCAAAUCCUAUGAAGGAGAUGAGGGCUUGAUGAUCUAGAUAGAUCCUUC